RNAcentral lists this long non-coding RNA (290 nucleotides) under Heterocephalus glaber (naked mole-rat). RNAcentral describes it as "lncRNA (ENSHGLG00100042535.1)". The record is from RNAcentral. Lineage: Eukaryota; Metazoa; Chordata; Mammalia; Rodentia; Bathyergidae.
CAGAUAAUGAUUUACUAACUGCAGGAAUCGGGAGGUGUGAAAGAAGAUGGCUUUCUUAACCCCCAUUGUCUCCUUGCUGGAAUGUCCCUUGGCCCGCCCCGCUGCACCUGUGCACACGGUACAGGAUGGCCCAGACAGGGUGAGGGAAGCCAACUUCCCCAACACUUCUGAGCCAACCUCUGGCCAGUCUCAUGUGGCCCCUGGUAGAAACCCACAUUGCCUGCCACCUAUUUAAAUGCUACACACCACAGCCACACAGGCAAACGCUGAACACCUGGAAGGAGAAGAUG